Molecule: long non-coding RNA, 534 nt
Organism: Macadamia integrifolia
Lineage: Eukaryota; Viridiplantae; Streptophyta; Magnoliopsida; Proteales; Proteaceae
Exons: 2
Source: RefSeq, a predicted model, not a curated record
CGAUGGAACAAUAGAGGAAAAGAAGAAGGAAAAUAAGAGGAAGAAGAGAAGGAAGGGGGACAGAGUUGGGGGCUGCAUGUAAUCAGGAAAUUUCUCAAAUGUUGAAGCAUACCGAUCCCCAAGAUGACCCACAACUACAAAAGCACAGUUGCAUCAUGAAGGAAAAUCAUAAUCCUUCUCAUGAAGUUGGGCAUGAGGGCGAAGAUGAGAUGACAGCUGUAUCACCUGUAUCACCUCUUGCACCACCUGUGAUGACAACUCAGGAUGUGGUUUCCAUGGUCAGUAAUAUGAUGCAAGAAGUCCAACAAUGACAUAGGGACAUGAUGACUGAGAUAAUCACAGCUAUUGUAGACACCCAAUUUUAUCACCCUCCUCUGGCUAUAAUGAAAUAUGGUUCUUGGGGGUGACUUUCGGCUUCCGACCGACAAAGAUGCUGAUGGAAACAUUCCCUAUCCGAAACCCUAGAAUCCCCGCAUGGGAGAGAGGAAGGUCUAAUGACAUUUUAUAUAUGAAAGAAUCUGGUUAAGCUGACCA